AUUUAGUGCUAAUGCUUAGAAAUUGUCCCUUCUUCUAUUUUACUUAUAGGUUCGCUUAUAUUGUUUGAUAUCCUAACAAAUCAGAAAGAUUCUUUGGGGGAUAUUGACAGUGAAAAGGAUUCGCUAAAUAUUGUAAUGGAUCAAGGAGAUACACCUACACUAGAGGAAGAUUUGAAGAAACUUCAGCUCUCUGAAUUCUUUGAUAUCUUUGAGAAGGAGAAAGUAGAUAAGGAAGCUCUGGCUUUAUGUACAGACCAAGAUCUUCAGGAAAUGGGAAUUCCUUUAGGACCAAGAAAGAAGAUAUUAAACUAUUUCAGCACCAGAAAAAACUCAAUGGGUAUUAAGAGACCAACCCCACAGCCUGCUUCAGGGGCAAACAUCCCCAAAGAAUCUGAGUUCUGCAGUAGCAGUAAUACUAGAAAUGGUGACUAUCUGGAUGUUGGCAUUGGGCAGGUGUCUGUGAAAUACCCCCGGCUCAUCUAUAAACCGGAAAUAUUCUUUGCCUUUGGAUCUCCCAUUGGAAUGUUCCUUACUGUCCGAGGACUAAAAAGAAUUGAUCCCAACUACAGAUUUCCAACGUGCAAAGGUUUCUUCAAUAUUUAUCACCCUUUUGAUCCUGUGGCCUAUAGGAUUGAACCAAUGGUGGUCCCAGGAGUGGAAUUUGAGCCAAUGCUGAUCCCACAUCAUAAAGGCAGGAAGCGGAUGCACUUAGAACUGAGAGAGGGCUUGACCAGGAUGAGUAUGGACCUUAAGAACAACUUGCUAGGUUCGCUGCGGAUGGCCUGGAAGUCUUUUACCAGAGCACCAUACCCUGCCUUACAAGCUUCAGA
This 830-nucleotide small RNA is filed under the name Pongo abelii (Sumatran orangutan). RNAcentral describes it as "retained intron". The record is from RNAcentral. Lineage: Eukaryota; Metazoa; Chordata; Mammalia; Primates; Hominidae.